GAUGAACGCUGGCGGCGCGCCUAACACAUGCAAGUCGAACGAUUAAAGCACCUUCGGGUGUGUAUAAAGUGGCGAACGGCUGAGUAACACGUGGGCAACCUGCCCCUUUCAUUGGGAUAGCCACGGGAAACCGUGGAUAAUACCGAAUACUUCGAGACUUCCGCAUGGAAGACUCGAGAAAGCUCCGGCGGAGGGGGAUGGGCCCGCGGCCUGUUAGCUUGUUGGUGGGGUAACGGCCUACCAAGGCAAUGAUGGGUAGCUGGGUUGAGAGACCGACCAGCCAGAUUGGGACUGAGACACGGCCCAGACUCCUACGGGAGGCAGCAGUGGGGAAUCUUGCACAAUGGGCGGAAGCCUGAUGCAGCGACGCCGCGUGCGGGAUGAAGGCCUUCGGGUUGUAAACCGCUUCCAGCAGGGACGAAGCGAAAGUGACGGUACCUGCAGAAGAAGCCCCGGCUAACUACGUG
This 467-nucleotide ribosomal RNA is filed under the name uncultured bacterium. RNAcentral's name for it is "partial 16S ribosomal RNA". It matches the Rfam family "Bacterial small subunit ribosomal RNA", at positions 28 to 507 of the family's 1533-position model. The record is from RNAcentral.